CUUAUAUCUUUGCUCACAAAACGUUCAUUAUAAAAAUUCAAGCUCUGUAAAGCUGGCAGGAAACAUCAGUUCUCACAAGCUGUAGAACAAGGAAGCCUCUGUAAAACUCGAGCUGGAUAGCCUACCAGACCUCAGGUAUCAAGCAAAGACCCAAGAAGUGAACCUUGCGCCACACACUGAAAAUUAGCAGUUGCUAUCCGACCCUAAUUUGAUAGCUGACUUCCAUGACUGAUGGUACCUGUCACUUGAGACCAGCUGCAGGAACAGAAGUGUACUUUUGCCAGAAAACAAUAUCUUAAAAUACACAUAGGGAAGAUAAAAUAUAAAGAAAAAAGCAGCAGCAAGGAAUCUAAAUUGGCAUUUUUCCCAACCCUUCAGCUGUUAAAAAAAAAAAAAAAAAAGGCUUCAUCACAUAAGACCAUCCUUAGGUGGAGCUGGCUAGAGCUGCGGCUCCAGGGCAGAGCAGUGGCUGGUACGAAAUAACCUACAGAACGGAGCAGGAGCCCUCCUAAUGGUGUGCCUAGGAAGGGUACAAACCCACUGGUGUGCUCCUCACACCCUCAGUACUGCUACUGAAGGACUUGGUGCAAAUUAGCUUGUGACGAGGGCCUGAUUUUUCACUUCUGCUUGUGUUAAUGUUUGUACGGCAGCAAGAAAGCCCCUACCUCGUCUCUGCACCGGCCCUGGAGGACUCUCCCGAGCGUGCCAUCUCUCUAACAGCCAUUAAGUGUCUACCAAAGACAUAAAGCUGUGAUAUAAAGGGAAAAUCCUUCUACCCUAAAUGCAGCCCCAGCCCAGCCCCAGCAGCCAGCACAGAGCGCGACAGACUUCUGGUGUGACACCAGGCCAACGAGGAGAAAGAGGAGUGACUGCAGCACGUUUCGGAUUCAGGCAAGGAAGCAAACAGCACGCUCACAUCUGCCUCCACAUCUGCAGCUAACGCAUGCCUUCUCUUUCCUAAGGAAACAAAAACUCACGUUCCUAAGCCUACAAUGAAAAGCAGCAAACGGCACAAGCUGAGAUUUUAGCCCCAGUUCUGCACGCAGCGAGAAGGGGGGGGGGGGGGGGCAUUCUCCCUGAAGGCGAGGACCUCUGUCUAGCCAGUGCCAGCAGGGACAAAAGCAGCGUCCCCAGCCCGUCCCCAAUCCCUGGACCCAGGCACUGUCCCUGCACUUGCUAAUUCUGCAGCACGCUGACCUCCCCUGGGCACCACCAGCUCCUCCUGACAGGGUGCUGCAGGCUCCUGACCAUCACGGCUGUGCCUGGGGGCAGUAAUUUAUCCCCGGCUGCCUGUCAUGCUACUUCUGUCCUGUGCUAUUUUUCCCCCUCGAAAGCAAUGGUGAAACCAGCAGGUAUCGAGCACGUUGUCAUCUCAGACCAUACAACAGAUUUUAUUUGGCCCAGUGACAUAUCUAACCUCAUCAGCUACGUUUAGGAAACUCAUCUGAGCCUCAGA
Molecule: long non-coding RNA, 1456 nt
Filed under: Anser brachyrhynchus (Pink-footed goose)
Lineage: Eukaryota; Metazoa; Chordata; Aves; Anseriformes; Anatidae
Description: lncRNA (ENSABRG00000009601.1)
Source: RNAcentral